UACCUCCCCCCCACUCCCCUCAUCCCUGAGUCAUUCUUUGCCUUUCGUCACAGGAGGUUGGCAGAGAAGUGUCGGAAGAUUCGGGGUAGUCUCUUAUGGAGGGUAGUACUCUUCGCAAUGGGACUGGAGUUUUAAGUAGUCCUGUCAGUCUCUCAGUGAGAGCAUGGGUAAAUGUUAAGAGUCCACAGAUGCAGGGAGAGUCUUUCUGCGAACCCAUCCCGACUCAGUUUAACAGCUCCAUUAGCAAUCAGUUUUGACGAGUUUUGCUGCAUGCUUUUCUUCUCUCAAGUCCAUGUCAGGAGCGAUUCUACUACCUUGUCGCACUUGAAGGGCCGUGUUUCUGUUCCACGACAUUGAUUCUGGUAAGAUCGUUUCAUAUAUAUAUAUAUAUAUAUAUAUAUAUAUAUAUAUAUAUGAUAAUGCACCAAGACAGGGUCACAGUGUGGCUCCCUUUAUCUCUAUUGAAUCUAAGGUAAUACCCUCGGAAGGGGGCUGUUGAACAGGGGGGAUAUUAUGCAUAAUAUUGAUUAUUGUGUUUGCUACUGCAUUUGUGGGAGAUGAGGCUCUGUUAGUCUGGAACACAGUUUAUAGGGAGAAAAUUGUGGUGGGCUUUUUUGGCGCAUCCAUCUCUCGAGUGCAGGGGCGGUCCUGCAUGGCACUCCAUGUGACCGGGUGUGACCUCUACAACUUCCUCUUUCUCGACCUGCGUUCAGAGAAGACGAAAGCCGUUUCUUGUAGUCUGGGUCAUAGGAGGUGGUGAGUGCCCUGACCAUUGGAAAAUAAAGGUGCCAUUUAUAUUUUGAUCAAGUCUGUAAUAAAGGCGCAAGCUAUGUAGGACUCUGAUAUAUUAGAGGAUACUCCCUCUUUAUCUAAACCCAUUAACUGUUUAUAUUGUGAGGAGGUUCCUGUCGAACCAUCGAUGCAACUCUGUUCUACAUGCUUUGACAGUAUUGCCAUUUCCAAAAGAAUAAAGUAUUUAGUAUUACUGAGCCGUCCACCUCUGAGGGUUCUCCGCUCCGUGAGGUGCGUUCGUUGCAAUCAUAUCCGAUUCCACAAGCAGUUCUCCAGGGCACUACUAAUCCUCCUGCGGGCUCUGCGGCCAUUAAUGCGAUGCCUCAUCCUUCUAAGCGUGAGCAGAAGGUACGGCACUGCUAUCCGUCUCGGGGGUCUUUGACUCCGCUGGCUGUCUCAGACAGAUUAUCAGCUGAGGAUGACAACUCCGACUUAUCGGAGGAUGUCCCUUCUAGGGCAGAAUCGGCUACUUCUAGGCCUCCGUCCGCGGAGGAGCCUGAUUUUAAGUUUAAGAUGGAGCAUUUGCGCUAUCUGCUAAAAGAGGUGCUUGCUACAUUGGAGGUUCCAGAACCAAAACUACCGGAGGAACCUUCAAUUCCUAAACUUGAUAGUCUAUGAGGACAGGGUAGUGCCCCAGGCCUUCCCGGUUCCAGUCAAGAUGGCUAACAUUAUUAAGAAUGAAUGGGAGAAACUUGGUUCGUCUUUUUCCCCCCUCCUCUUAAUUUAAAAAGCUUUUCCCCAUUCCAGAGGCGCAGCUUAAACUAUGGGGAACUGUCCCUAAGGUGGAUGGUGCUAUCUCCAUGCUUGCUAAGAGAACGAGUCCAUGUUGCAGAAGAUGUUCCAAAUCACGGGGUUAGUUUUUCAGCCGGCGGCGGCAGUCGCCGCUACCUACUGGUGUGACGCACUAGCAGCAAUGGUGGAGACUCCUCUCGAUGAAAUUCUAGACCGAAUUGAGGCCUUAAAGGUGGCACAUUCGUUAAUUUGUGAUGCUAACAUGCAGAUUAUUCGCCUGACAUCAGGGUUUUCUGUUUUAGCCCGCAGGGCUCUGUGGCUAAAGUCGGGAUCUGCUGACAUGACUUAUAAGUCUCGUUUGCUUUCCCUCCCAUUCAAGGGGAAAGUUUUCUUUGGCCCGGGCCUGGAUUCUAUCAUCUCUACGGUCACAGGUGGCAAGGGUGCCUCAGGAUAAGAAGGCUAAACCAAAGGGAUCUACUUUUCAUCCUUUUCGUGCAACCUGCCGCAAAGUCAGAGCAAUCCAAGGGAUCUUGGAAGCCAGCUAACUCUUGGAAGAAGUCCAAGCAGAACAAGAAGCCCACCGAAUCAGUCAGCAUGAAGGGGCGGCCCCCGGUCCGUCAUCGGAUCACGUAGGGAGCAGACUAUCUUUUUGCGGAGGCCUGGAGAAGAGACGUUGUAGACUCUUGGGUUCUGGAGGUCGUAUCCCAGGGUUACAGGAUAGAUUUUAAGUCUUAUCCACCCAGAGGCAGAUUCCUCCUGUCAAACAUAUCCUCAAGACCAGAAAAGAGAGACACCUUCCUGGGGUGUGUGAAGAAUCUCAUCUCUUGGGGUAAUCGUCCCAGUUCCUCCGGCAGAAAGAGGUCUGGGAUAUUAUUCAAACCUUUUCGUAGUCCCAAAGAAGGAAGGUACGUUUCGUCCAAUUCUGGACCUAAAGGCCCUAAAGAAGUUCUUGUCAGUUUCAUUGUUCAAGAUGGAGAUAAGGUCAAUUUUGCCCCUGGUGCAAAAGGGGCAAUUCAUGAGGACUAUAGACCUGAAGGACGCCUACCUUCACAUUCCAAUCCACAGGGAUCACUUCAGGUUUCUAAUAUUAGUCUUCCUGGACCAGCACUUCCAGUUUGUGGCCCCUCCGUUUGGUCUGGCGACUGCCCCAAGGGUCUUCACAAAGGUUCUGGGAGCUCUACUCGCAGUAGCGAGAGCCAGAGGAAUUACAGUGGCACCUUAUCUGGACGAUAUCCUGGUCCAGGCUCUGUCCUACAGUCUUGCGGGGGAUAACUAGAGAGCUCUUCUCCUUCGAUGCCACAGGUGGAAGAUAAACGAGGGAAAGAGUUCAUUGGUCCCCAGCAAUAGGGUGGAGUUCCUGGGUACGAUAAUAGAUUCUUCAGCCAUGAAGAUAAUCUUGACAGAUUAAAGACGGUGCAAGCUUGCGUCCAACUGUCUAGCUCUUCAGACAUCCUCCAGGACAUCUGUGGCCAGGUGUAUGGAGGUGAUCGGGCUCAUGGUAUCCAGCAUAGAUGUCAUUCCUUUUGCCAGGUUCCAUCUCAGACCUCUUCAGCUGUGCAUGUUGAAAUAAUGGAACUGCGAUCAUUGAGAUAUGUCCCAACAGAUAUCUCUAGACAGAACGGUGAGGGAGUCCCUAUCUUGGUGGACUCGACCGGGGCAGUUUUCUCAGGGGACAUCCUUUUUGAGACCAUCCUGGGAGAUUGUGACCACGGAUGCAAGUCUAUCAGGAUGGGGAGCUGUUUGGGGUGUCAGAAGGGUGCAGGGCAGAUGGUCUCGAGAAGAGUCAAGUCUACCUAUAAAUAUUUUGGAACUUUGAGCGAUAUUCAACGCUCUGAGGGCUUGGCCCCUUCUGGGGUCGUCCCGAUUCAUCAGAUUCCAGUCGGACAACAUUACCUCGAUGGCUUACAUAAACCAUCAAGGGGGGACGAGAAGCUCCCUAGCCAUGAGGGAAGUAUCUUGGAUUCUGGAAUGGGUAGAUACUCACAAUUGUUUACUCUCAGCGAUCCACAUUCCGGGUGUGGACAACUGGGAAGUGUUUUUUUGAGCAGACAGACCUUUCAUCCAGGGGAAUGGUCCCUCCAUCCCUAGAUGGUUGUGGAGAUCUGCAGCAGAUGGGGGACGCCGAAAAUAGAUCUCAUGGUGUCCAGACUCAAUUGCAAGCUACCCAGAUACGGGGCGCGAUCCAGGGAUCCCCAGGUGGAACUGAUAGAUGCCUUGGCAGUACCCUGGGACUUCAACCUAAUUUACAUAUUCCACCGUUACCUCUUCUACCUCGAGUAGUGUCCUACAUCAAGCAGGAGCAAGCUUCGGCUAUUCUGAUUGCUCCGUCCUGGCCAUGGAGGAUGUGGUUUGCAGAUCUGGUGGCGAUGUAGUCAUCUCCACCGUGGAAGUUACCUUUUCCCAGGGAUCUGCUAGUUCAAGGUCCUUUUCUACAUCAAAAUCUCGAUUCUGUGAGGCUGACUGCGUGGAGAUUGAACGCCUAGUCUUAGCCAAGAGAGGAUUUUCGGAAAAAGUGAUUGACACUCUUGUUCAGGCCAGGAAGCCGGUCACUUGACACAUCUACCACAAGGUGUGGAGGACCUACUUGUCCUGGUGUGAGGAACGAGGAUACCCAUGGCACAAGGUCGGGGUAUCCAGGAUUUUGGCCUUUCUCCAGGACGGUCUGGAUAAGGGUCUUGCCGCCAGUUCCCUGAGGGGACAGAUCUUGGCUUUAUCUGUACUGUUGCAUAAGAAGCUUGCAGAGCUUCCUGACAUUCAGUCCUUUGUUCAGGCGCUGGUUAGGAUCAGGCCUGUCUUCAGGAACCUGGCUCCUCAUUGGAGCUUAAACUUGGUUCUUAAGGUUUUGCAGAAGGCUCCGUUUGAGCCUAUGCACGCUCUUGACAUUAAAGUUCUUUCGUGAAAAGUUCUAUUAUUACUGGCUAUUGCAUAGGCACGCAGAGUCUCUGAGUUUGCAGCCUUGCAACGUGAGCCUCCCUACUUGGUGUUUCAUGCUGAUAAGGCUGUUCUUUGCACUGGAUUGGGUUUUCUUCCCAAGGUAGUGUUGAGUCGUAACAUCAAUCAGGAAAUAGUAGUUUCUUCUUUGUGUCCUAACCCUUCUUCUUCAAAGGAGAGGUUACUUCAUAAUCUGGACGUGGUUCAGGCUUUGAAGUUUAAUCUUCAGGCCACAAAGGAGUUCAGACAGACUUCAUCCUUAUUUGUUGUAUAUUCGGGGAAGCACAGGGGGUCAAAGGGCCUCUGCUACCUCUCUCUAUCUUUUUGGUUGAGGAGUAUGAUCCGUCUGGCAUACGGGACACAAGCCUCCUCAGAGGAUUACGGCUCACUCGACUAGAGCUGUGGCCUCUUCUUGGGCCUUUAAGAAUGAGGCUUCUAUGGAACAGAUUUGUAAGGGGGCUACUUGGUCUUCCUUACAUACUUUUGCAAAAAUUUAUAAAUUUGACGUUUUUGCUUCUGCGGAAGCAGCUUUUGGGAGAAAGGUUCUGCAGGCUGUGGUGCCCUUAGUAUAGGGUCCGCCUCCUUUUGCCCUGCCAUUUUUUUCAUUCAGUGUCCUCUAGAGCUUGGCUAUUUUUUCCGACAAGUAAUGAAUGAAGCAGUGGACUCUCUUCCCAUUAAGAUGGGAAAACAUAAAUUAUGCAUACCUGAUAAUUUAAUUUCCAUUUGUGGUAGAAGAGUUCACUGCACUCGCCCGUUUCUCCAGUGGGUGGACCUAAAUUUAUUAUUGAUCUUCUGGCACCACAUAACAAUUCUUUCAUAACAAUUCAAAAGAAAAUGUGCUAACAAAACACUUGGAUACAGGUGGGUUGAAUUGCAUGCAUCUCAUACCAUUUUUUUUCCAUGAGAGAAUGGAGAGAAAAGAAGGGGAGGGGAGAAAAGGAAGGGAAAGGAAAGAACAAUACACUUUGAAACAAUCACUGCCCUUCACAUGCAACAACAUACAGUAAUAACCAUCAUUCAAGUAAUUAAACUUUUUAAGUGUCCAAUUACUAUUUACUCUGUGGGUUCAUGAAUGCAGAGAAAGCUAGUUAUUAGUAGCUAACAUACAUUAGUGCUGAGAGUUUAUGAUUAGACAUUACAAGCUGAUCUAAGUAGUGCACAGACACAUCCAGUAUGUUAGUUACUAAUACCUGCAAUAAGCACUGCGCUCGCAGACCCACCACAGCUGAAAGGGGAGGCAGCAUAUCGGUACAAGGUCUUCUCCUCCAGCCUCACCUUGUAAGCAUAUCCCUGGGCAAGUUUCUCAACGAGAAUGCUUCCACUGCAAAAAUGCAGGCGGCUCUAAGUGAAGCAACGGUUUAACGGAGCACUGCCUAAGAAGAGUGAACUUGAUCAGCGCACGUGCCUUGUCUUUGUAAAAGCCUGCACUUUAUCGCUCACUGUACUGUGUGCUGGCUUUUAGAGAGAGGACAGGGCAGAUAUGCUGCCCCUCCCAAAUCUUCCGUCCUAGGCACUGGCCUUGUUGGUCUAGGCCAUAAUGCGCCCCUGUCUGGCACCAUUUAUACCCUGAUAUUUCUACUACUGUUCCUUGUUCCCUUGGCAGAAUGACUGGAGGAUGAGGGAGUGGGGGAGAUAUUUAAGCCUUUGGCUGGGGUGUCUUUGCCGCAUCCUGGUGGCCAGGUUCUUAAUUCCCACAAGUAAUGAAUGAAGCCGUGGACUCUCCUCCCAGAGAUGGAAAUUAAAUUAUCAGGUAAGCAUAAUUUAUGUUUUAUAGAUAUGUGUUAGAACAUGUUUUAUUUAUUCUAUAAACUACUGACAAUUCUAAAUGAAAAUAUGGUCUUUUAGAGCAUUUAUUUGCAGAAAAUGACGACAACUGAUCAAAAUAACAAACAUAUGCAGUGUUUUCAGACCUCAAAUAAUGCAAAGAAAACAAGUUCAUAUUCAUUUUUAUACAACGCAAUACUGUUUUAACUUAGAAGAGUUCAGAAAUUAAUAUUUGGUGGAAUAACCCUGAUUUUCAAUCACAGCAUUCAUGUGUCUUGGCAUGCUCUCCAUCAGUCUUUCACAUUGCUGUUGGGGGACUUUAUGCCACUCCUGGUGCAAAAUUUCAAGGAACUCUGCUUUGUGUGAUGGCUUGUGACCAUUCAUCUUCCUCUUUAUCACAUUCCAGAGGUUUCAAUGGGCUACAGGUCUGGAGAUUGGGCUGUCUAUGACAGGGUCUUGAUCUUUUGCUCCUCCAUCCACAUCUUGAUUGACCUGGGUGUGUGGCAUGGAGCAUUGUCCUGCUGGAAAGAACAAUCCUAAGAGUUGGGGAUCAUUGUCAGGGCAGGAGGAAACACGUUUUCUUCCAGGAGAACCUUGUAUGAUAUGGAUCAAAUAUAUAGAGGCGCUGGUCUUGAAAAUAGAAGAACCUUGUAUGAUGUAGGCUUGAUUCAUGCAUUCUUCACAAAGAUCUGCAAAUAAAUGCUCUUAAUGAUGAUGUUUUUAUUUGAGAGGAAUGUUGUCAGCAGUUUAAAGAGUAAGACAAAAAUGUUAAUUUUACUCAAACACAUAUCUAUAAAUAGUAAAACUAGAGAAACUGGUAAUUUUGCAGUGGUAUCAUAUAUAUAUAUAUAUAUAUAUAUAUAUAUAUAUAUAUAUAUAUAUAUAUAUAUAUAUAUAAAUACAGUAUAUGACAGAGAGAGAGAGAAUUUGACUUUUUUUUCCCUAUCUUUAACAUUUCUUUUGGACUAGUAACUUUUUCACAUUUUUACUCUUUAACAAAUUUAAAGAAAGUUGACUUCCAUCUGUUUCCGACUGUAACAAAUUUGAUUUUAUAUUGCAUAGAAUAUGUGCAGCUAGAAGUUAAUGUUUAGAAAUUUAGAUAGGUCACUGAUUGGAAAAAUGUUUUCAAAGUCCAUGAUUAUCUGAGUGGUUAUAGUUUUUAAAGGCUUUUGUAUCUUAAUAAGGAUUACUUAGUUAUUGUACAAUAAAACACAUUCUCUAAUAAUUUAGUUAUAGACUAAUAUAUAUAAUUGGAAGCUGUAGCUGAAAAUCUUGCUUAGUGAUAUAUUUAUAUUAAUGCCAGUGAUAAUUACUUAAAUUGCUUUAAUGACUCGACUAUCAAUACAUGACGCACUGAUUCUUCUCUACUCGCAACUUGUAUAUAUUUUUAGCGACUGGCUUGACUUGAGAGCAUUGUGUAAGGACUUGAGAUUUGAAGGUGGAGACUUGACUUUAGACUUGAAGUAAAAGACUUGAAUCCAUCACUGAUUAAUGCUGCUUUCGAUUGUUUUGCUGCUCAGUGGGCUUUGUAACCAUUUGCACAUGCGCACAUUUACCAGAAACAAAUAGUUGGUAAUUAUUGCUAUACUUUUGGAAACAUCAGCACUAGAACACAGCAUUCAGUGACAAUUCCAUGUGAAUAGUUUUGUCUGGGGUGGUAAUAUGGUUAUCCAUAAAGCAUGAUGCAACUACUCAGAAUCCCUCCUGUUGUGAAAAACAUGUAAAUUUUACAUUCUAUUUAUUUCGGUUGGUGAUCCCUCAUAGAGUUCUAUAUAGGCAAUGAUAAUAUAUUUUUGUAUCUGUGUAUAUACUUGUUUUACAAUGUAAAAUAAAGAAAGUAAUUCAAAA
Long non-coding RNA from Bombina bombina (fire-bellied toad), 8067 nucleotides. RefSeq lists it as uncharacterized. NCBI's taxonomy places the organism in Eukaryota, Metazoa, Chordata, Amphibia, Anura, Bombinatoridae. The record is from RefSeq and is a predicted model, not a curated record. The transcript has 2 exons.